AGCGCUUGGAGCAAAAAGACAAAGUAUUUGAUAAACUCUAAGGUACAUAAAGGAUGUCUAAGGGAACAUGCAGACAUGGAUUACUCUGGACUCACUGCUGGCUGCACACCCCUGGCCAGCCAUGUGGCCUCUGUGGGUUCUGAAUGUGUUGAUGGCGCCAGCCUCCUGGGCUGAAGUGGAAAUGGAAUGAGUUCUAGGGCAUCUGUCUCUUAGAUCAUUUUAAUGUUUGCUGUGUUUUUUUCUGUAUUGCUCUGUUAGAGUAAUAAGAAAUGUGAUUGUGUGUCUGGCCUCAGGUGUGGAUUAAUGAGUACGAUCACUCCAAGCCCAUCCAGGGGCAGCAGAAGAAGCCCUUUGAGGAGCACUGGAGGAAGCACACCCUGUCCUAUGUGGACGUCAGCACUGGGAAGGUCACCCUGGAAUAUAGACCCGUAAUUGACAAAACUUUGAAUGAGGCUGACUGUGCCGCCAUCCCCCCAGCCAUUCACUCCUGCUGAUGAGACAAGAUGCGGUGAUGACAGAAUCAGCUUUUGUAAUUAUGUAUAAUAACUCAUGUAUGUGUCCAUGUCAUAAGUGUCUUCAUACGCUUCUGCACUCCAGGGAAGAAGGAGUACAUUGAGGGGAGAUUGGCACCCAGUGGCCGGGAGCUUGCCAGGAACCCAGUGGCCAGGGAGCGUGGCACUUACCUUUGUCCCUUGCUUCAUUCUUGUGACAUGAUAAAACUGGGCACAGCUCUUAAAUAAAAUAUAAAUGAACAAACUUUCUUUUAUUUCCAAAUCCAUUUACAAUAUUUUACUGUUGUGACUUGUCAUAUUUGUUGACCUAAAAAUCAAAUGUAAUUGUCUUUGUAUUCUGUCACAUCAAAAUCCAGAUAUUUUGUUGUAGUUUUUCUUUUUUUUUUUGAGACAGGAUCGGUGCAGUGGUGCAGUCUCAGCUCACUGCAGCCUCAAACUCCUGGGC
This 957-nucleotide long non-coding RNA is filed under the name Pongo abelii (Sumatran orangutan). RNAcentral describes it as "lincRNA". The record is from RNAcentral. Lineage: Eukaryota; Metazoa; Chordata; Mammalia; Primates; Hominidae.